Gambusia affinis (western mosquitofish) is the source of this 1260-nucleotide long non-coding RNA. RefSeq lists it as uncharacterized. The record is from RefSeq and is a predicted model, not a curated record. The transcript has 4 exons. Lineage: Eukaryota; Metazoa; Chordata; Actinopteri; Cyprinodontiformes; Poeciliidae.
AAAAAUAUAAUCAAUUCAAAACAGUCAUUUGUUUAGAGUUAGCCAAAACAACUCUAAAACUGCUGAGGGCGAUGUAACGGGAUCCGUUCCACCCAGCUGGACUUCCUCAUACCGGCGCCGCGGUUCGCCUUCUGGGUCGGAUUAUUUACGCUCAGAAUAAAGAUGAAAACCUGCAGCUCCAGUUUGGAUGACGCACAAACUCCUGCAUGGCUCAGUCUGCUCCCCUGAACAACCCGCCAAGGCUCCAGAGCGACCCGAUCAUCGCUGCACCAGAUCUGACGUCCGUGUUGCUGAUUGUGAUGAGUUUCUCUGGAAACGUCAGGAAACCUGAGAGUUAAAGCUAAACCCAAACCGUAACAACAGGCAUCAGGCGAUAAUAAUGAAGACGUUGAGGUGAUGGAGGGAAACAAGCCUUUUAGUUCCAGAUGUUCUGCAUUCCGGGCGUACCGAACCAAACCCCGCGCCGCCGCCUUUCAAGCUGCACGGAAACGAUCUCUGGGAUGAACUUCGUUAACCCGGCACCGAGCGGACGGGCCAAACGGAUCCCGACCCGCUCUGCUCACUGCGGCGUUCCACAGGGAUCCGUUUUCAGCCCUCUGACUUCUGACCAUAUUCCUGUUGUUGUUUUGCUGGUGAUAUCCAGGUGUUUUUCACACUUCUUCCAAAUGAAGUUUAAAAACUCUGGAUUCAAUUAUUGAAGAAAGAUGAGAAAAACCAUCGGUAGAGAUGAAGCAGGUCCUCGACUCUCCUGGUGAUUUUAGUUCAAUCUUUGGUUAAAAACCUUCAAAUGACCUUCAGCUCUCAACCAUACUGUGUUUUCCAGAAACAGAAAUCUACCUCCAGGUUCUAGUCUGUUCUGGUCUGGAUGACUGUCGCUCCGAGCGCCUCACCAGAACCUCACCAGAACCUCACCAGAACCUCACCAGAACCUCACCAGAACCUCCCUGAAGGUUCCCGUCGCUCCAACAUUGAAGGUUUAUUGUCUGCAGGUUUUAUUGCUGUUGUUUGUUAAAAAUAUCUCAAAAUUACAGCAUAAUGACAAACAUACACAUGGACUCUGUUUUCAUUCAAACCGGUCAGUUUCACACCAGUCGGGUUUCAACUCAUCACCUGAAAAAUGCUUUUUAAGAAGUUUUGUUACUUUUUCCUUUUACUUGAGUAUUUUUGUUAUAAAGUAUUUCUUCUCUUACUUGAGAAAAAUUUCUGUAUUUUCUUCCCACUGAAUGAAAAACAAAAUAAAGUGAAAAUCCUGCAGACGGA